RNAcentral lists this ribosomal RNA (435 nucleotides) under Vibrio sp. KSS01A28. RNAcentral describes it as "bacterial SSU rRNA". It matches the Rfam family "Bacterial small subunit ribosomal RNA", at positions 383 to 810 of the family's 1533-position model. Lineage: Bacteria; Pseudomonadati; Pseudomonadota; Gammaproteobacteria; Vibrionales; Vibrionaceae. The record is from RNAcentral.
CUGAUGCAGCCAUGCCGCGUGUGUGAAGAAGGCCUUCGGGUUGUAAAGCACUUUCAGUCGUGAGGAAGGUAGUGUAGUUAAUAGCUGCAUUAUUUGACGUUAGCGACAGAAGAAGCACCGGCUAACUCCGUGCCAGCAGCCGCGGUAAUACGGAGGGUGCGAGCGUUAAUCGGAAUUACUGGGCGUAAAGCGCAUGCAGGUGGUUUGUUAAGUCAGAUGUGAAAGCCCGGGGCUCAACCUCGGAAUUGCAUUUGAAACUGGCAGACUAGAGUACUGUAGAGGGGGGUAGAAUUUCAGGUGUAGCGGUGAAAUGCGUAGAGAUCUGAAGGAAUACCGGUGGCGAAGGCGGCCCCCUGGACAGAUACUGACACUCAGAUGCGAAAGCGUGGGGAGCAAACAGGAUUAGAUACCCUGGUAGUCCACGCCGUAAACGAU